RNAcentral lists this ribosomal RNA (1253 nucleotides) under uncultured Halomonas sp. Its description in RNAcentral is "bacterial SSU rRNA". It matches the Rfam family "Bacterial small subunit ribosomal RNA", at positions 33 to 1309 of the family's 1533-position model. The record is from RNAcentral. Lineage: Bacteria; Pseudomonadati; Pseudomonadota; Gammaproteobacteria; Oceanospirillales; Halomonadaceae.
ACCGGGGGGGCAGGUCUACACAUGCAAGUCGAGCGGCAGCACGGGGAGCUUGCUCCCUGGUGGCGAGCGGCGGACGGGUGAGUAAUGCAUAGGAAUCUGCCCGGUAGUGGGGGAUAACGUGGGGAAACCCACGCUAAUACCGCAUACGUCCUACGGGAGAAAGCAGGGGAUCUUCGGACCUUGCGCUAUCGGAUGAGCCUAUGUCGGAUUAGCUAGUUGGUAAGGUAACGGCUUACCAAGGCGACGAUCCGUAGCUGGUCUGAGAGGAUGAUCAGCCACACUGGGACUGAGACACGGCCCAGACUCCUACGGGAGGCAGCGGUGGGGAAUAUUGGACAAUGGGCGAAAGCCUGAUCCAGCCAUGCCGCGUGUGUGAAGAAGGCUUUCGGGUUGUAAAGCACUUUCAGCGAGGAAGAAAGCCUCUGGGUUAAUACCCCAGAGGAAGGACAUCACUCGCAGAAGAAGCACCGGCUAACUCCGUGCCAGCAGCCGCGGUAAUACGGAGGGUGCGAGCGUUAAUCGGAAUUACUGGGCGUAAAGCGCGCGUAGGUGGCUUGGCACGCCGGUUGUGAAAGCCCCGGGCUCAACCUGGGAACGGCAUCCGGAACGGCCAGGCUAGAGUGCAGGAGAGGAAGGUAGAAUUCCCGGUGUAGCGGUGAAAUGCGUAGAGAUCGGGAGGAAUACCAGUGGCGAAGGCGGCCUUCUGGCCUGACACUGACACUGAGGUGCGAAAGCGUGGGUAGCAAACAGGAUUAGAUACCCUGAUAGUCCACGCCGUAAACGAUGUCGACUAGCCGUUGGGACCUUUAAGGACUUAGUGGCGCAGUUAACGCGAUAAGUCGACCGCCUGGGGAGUACGGCCGCAAGGUUAAAACUCAAAUGAAUUGACGGGGGCCCGCACAAGCGGUGAGCAUGUGGUUUAAUUCGAUGCAACGCGAAAACCUUACCUACCCUUGACAUCCAGAGAGUGGCAGAGAUGCCUUCGUGCUUCGGAGCUCUGAGACAGUGCUGCAUGCUGUCGUCAGCUCGUGUGUGAGAUGUGGAUAAGUCCCGUAACGAGCGCAACCCUUGUCCUUAUUGCAGCGAGUAUGUCGGACCUAAGGAGACUGGCGGUGACAACGAGAAAGUGGAUGACGUCGGGCAUCAUGGCCUUACGGCGGGCUACACACUGUAAAUGGGCGGUCAAAGGGAGGCACACUCUCGCGAGAGUGAGGCACUCCUUUAUAUAGGCUCGAUAUCCGCCAUGAGAAGAA